RNAcentral lists this long non-coding RNA (1197 nucleotides) under Cyanistes caeruleus (blue tit). RNAcentral describes it as "lncRNA (ENSCCEG00000004169.1)". Lineage: Eukaryota; Metazoa; Chordata; Aves; Passeriformes; Paridae. The record is from RNAcentral.
CGGAACUGGGAGCACUGGGAGGGGGGAGGGGCCUGGGACCCCCUCCCCAAACCUCGGGGUCUCUCCAGGGUUGGGAUUUGUUGCACAAAGGGGGGGGUGGGAUCCCCCCCGGAAUCCCCAAAUCCCCCAAAGCCGAGUCCUCGGGGGUCCCCUCAGUCACCCCGGUGUCCCCUCGAGGGGGCCCUCAUUGGUGUUCCCAGGGUGUCCCCAGGGUGUCCCCAAUGUCCCCGGGUUGUCCCCGGUGUCCCCCCCGAUGACACGGGCCAGCCCCAGGUGCAGCAAUGUCCAGCAGGUCCAUCCUGGACAUCCCAAUGUCCAGCUGGUCCCCUCUGGUGUCCAUCCUGCUGUCCGGCCGCAGUGUCCAUGUGUCCAGCCUCAGUGUCUGUCUGUCCAGCUGCAGUGUCACAUAUCACCAUGUCCAUGUGUCCGGCCGCAGUGUCCAUGUGUCCAGACGCAGUGUCCGUGUGUCCAGCUGCAUUGUCCAUGUGUCCAGCCGCAGCGUCACAUCCCACUCGGCCAGGCCAAGGCCGGACACCAAAUCCCUGGCGUGGUUCAGCCGCUCUGGGGGGAAGGACAUGGUCAGUGACCCCCAAAUCCCCCCCAGAGAUCCCCAAAUCUCCACCUGGAACCCCCAAGUGCUCCCCCAAAUCCCCCCUAAACUUCCCCAGAACUUUUGGGAAGUCCCGAAUUUGGGGAGGGAGCACCUCCAGGACCCGCCCCGGGACAAAUAUCCCUGAAAUCCUGGGGUUUGUACCCCAAAAAUCCCUGAAAUCCCAGGGCAGCUACUCCAAAAUCCCCGGAUUUGUCCCCAGAAUGCCUCAAGAUAGUGGGGAUGACACCAGGGACCCCAAAUAUGGGGACGGAUCAUUCCCCCGCAAGUUCCCACUCCCAUUUCCCCCUCAGUUUUCUUCCCCUUCUUCCCCUCACAUUUCCCGCCCUUUUCUCCCCUCACGAUUCCCGCUCUUUUCUCCCCUCAUGAUUCCCGCUCUUUUCUCCCCUCACGGUUCCCGCCCUUUUCUCCCCUCACGGUUCCCGCUCUUUUCUCCCCUCACGAUUCCCGCCCUUUUCUCCCCUCACGGUUCCCGUUCCGUCCCCAUCCCGAGGCUCCAGCGCGGUGCUCACCGCCCCGCUCCCCAGCAGCCCGAUGACCCUCGCCCACCUCUCGGCCGUCUCCCGGUUCUGCCCGCAGUCCGGGGC